Molecule: long non-coding RNA, 239 nt
Organism: Cydia amplana
Lineage: Eukaryota; Metazoa; Arthropoda; Insecta; Lepidoptera; Tortricidae
Exons: 3
Source: RefSeq, a predicted model, not a curated record
CAGUGUUUUAAUGAUGACAGCAGUAGUUCAGGCAGAUAUCAGCGGGUAGCCGACUUGUUAUCAAAGUCGAACGCAGAUCAUUAUAGCAACAGGUACGAAUCUGAACAACCAGAAGUUAUCAUUAUCGUUCGACCUCAACGUCAGGAGAAAAUGCGAGCAUUUGUUUUAAGUUUGGUCAACGUUCGCGACCCAGAAUUUUUGUCUGGUCGCUAAAAGCAAAUAAAAAAAAAUAAACCCUG